RNAcentral lists this ribosomal RNA (253 nucleotides) under uncultured bacterium. RNAcentral's name for it is "partial 16S ribosomal RNA". It matches the Rfam family "Bacterial small subunit ribosomal RNA", at positions 524 to 776 of the family's 1533-position model. The record is from RNAcentral.
UACGAAGGGUGCUAGCGUUGUUCGGAAUUACUGGGCGUAAAGCGCGCGUAGGCGGCGAUGCAAGUCAGAGGUGAAAUCCCCAGGCUUAACCUGGGAAUUGCCUUUGAAACUGCAUUGCUUGAGUGUCGGAGGGGAUAGCGGAAUUCCUAAUGUAGAGGUGAAAUUCGUAGAUAUUAGGAGGAACACCGGUGGCGAAGGCGGCUAUCUGGACGACAACUGACGCUGAGGCGCGAAAGCGUGGGGAUCAAACAGG